AAAGCGUCAUAGCUUCUUUGCAAAAUAACCUAAUACCAACCAUUUUUAUGAUCCCCACCCCCGUAUCAAGCAAUUCUAUAUGUAUAUAGAAAUUUUUAUGUUAAAACUAGUAACAAGAAGAUAAACUUCUCCUAAUGCAAACGUAAAUCAGGAAGGAUAUACCACUGAUAAUUAACACCCCCUGAACCAACAGUAGCAACUUAACAAGAAAACUCUACUACAUUUUAUGUUAACCUAACACAAGAGCAUUACAGGAAAGAUUAAAAGAGAAAGAAGGAACUCGGCAAACUUUAACCCCGCCUGUUUACCAAAAACAUCGCCUCUUGACUAACUAUAAGAGGUCCAGCCUGCCCAGUGACACUGUUCAACGGCCGCGGUAUCCUAACCGUGCGAAGGUAGCGUAAUCACUUGUUCUUUAAAUGAGGACUAGUAUGAAUGGCACCACGAGGGUUAUACUGUCUCCUUUCUUUAAUCAGUGAAACUAAUCUCCCCGUGAAGAAGCGGGGAUAAUUUUAUAAGACGAGAAGACCCUAUGGAGCUUUAAACAAGUAAUAAUUGCCUUUAUUAAUUUUUAAUCUACGGAAAUUUACCCUCUUAUCCAGGCACUCUAAUUACAAGUUUUAGGUUGGGGUGACCGCGGAGCAUAAAAUAACCUCCAUAGUGAACGGGUAUUAUUCCCUAAACCCAGGGCUACAACCCUAAGCAUCAAUAAAUUGACACCCAUUGACCCAAUAUUUUGAUCAAUGAACCAAGUUACCCUAGGGAUAACAGCGCAAUCCACUUCAAGAGCCCCUAUCGACAAGUGGGUUUACGACCUCGAUGUUGGAUCAGG
Molecule: ribosomal RNA, 832 nt
Filed under: Leptodactylus bolivianus (Bolivian white-lipped frog)
Lineage: Eukaryota; Metazoa; Chordata; Amphibia; Anura; Leptodactylidae
Description: partial 16S ribosomal RNA
Rfam family: Bacterial large subunit ribosomal RNA
Source: RNAcentral